RNAcentral lists this ribosomal RNA (253 nucleotides) under uncultured bacterium. RNAcentral describes it as "partial 16S ribosomal RNA". It matches the Rfam family "Bacterial small subunit ribosomal RNA", at positions 524 to 776 of the family's 1533-position model. The record is from RNAcentral.
UACGGGGGGGGUAAGCGUUGUUCGGAAUUACUGGGCGUAAAGGGCUCGUAGGCGGCCAACUAAGUCAUACGUGAAAUCCCUCAGCUUAACCGAGGAACUGCCUGUCAGACUGGAAGGCUUGAGACCGGGAGAGGUGAGUGGAAUUCCCAGUGUAGCGGUGAAAUGCGUAGAUAUUGGGAGGAACACCAGUGGCGAAGGCGGCUCACUGGACCGGAACUGACGCUGAGGCGCGAAAGCGUGGGGAGCAAACAGG